CGCGACCCUCUGCUCGUCAUCAUAAAUGCACACGAGACCAAGCAAAGCAACCUGUCCUAACUACCAGGUAAUCGGACAGAGCGCACCUGCGUCCUCCCCUGCCGCAAAAUUAUCGUCACGUCGCCUUCGCGGCUUGCCUCCGCCGGCCGGUCCCCCGAAGUAAGCAGCUCCUGCUUCUCUUCUCCUCUCCUCCAUCUAACCAACCAACCAACCCGCCGGCUCCGGAGAAGAAAAGGACUCGAGCUCGAGCACGGCGAUGAGUGACCCGAGGUACGCGCACCCAUACCCCGCGCAAGGUUACUACCAGGGGCCGCCGGUGAUGGCGCCGCCGCAGUACCAGUACGCACCGCCGCCGCCACGGUCGCCGGGGUUCCUCGAGGGCUGCCUCGCGGCGCUGUGCUGCUGCUGCCUCAUCGACGAGUGCUGCUGCGACCCCUCCAUCAUCUUCGUCAGCUGAUCAAGACACCGAAACGCCCAAAGGCGCGCCAUGGUUGUACGAACCGCGUCGUGAUCUGUCUAUGUUCGUCCUGGAUUCACUUCACGUAUGUAUAUUGCUUGCUGGCUGCUGCUGUUCCUCUGGUCCGUUUAGCUAGGUUGGUGUUGCUUGUUGCUUCGGGGCCGGUGCCCCGUGCCCGUCUGUAUCUAUCUUAUCUCACCAGGAUCUAACUGGGAGUUGAUGAGAGUUAAUUGUGCGUCUCUUCCUGCUGCCGUUCAUCAUCUUCUUCUUCUUCUUUUGGGGGACUUUCCACUUGAUUUAGUUGUUGCUACCUUCUUUGAGAGGAUUAAUGUACUCUUAUCGACCGGGUGAUUCUGUUCCUACAAGAUGAACUAUGUUUCUUCUUCUUCUUUCUU
This is an RNA transcript of Phragmites australis (common reed), 852 nucleotides long. RefSeq lists it as uncharacterized. The transcript has 3 exons. The record is from RefSeq and is a predicted model, not a curated record. NCBI's taxonomy places the organism in Eukaryota, Viridiplantae, Streptophyta, Magnoliopsida, Poales, Poaceae.